UUGAACGCUGGCGGCAUGCCUUACACAUGCAAGUCGCACGGUAACAGGUCUUCGGAUGCUGACGAGUGGCAAACGGGUGAGUAAUACAUCGGAACGUGCCCGAUCGUGGGGGAUAACGAAGCGAAAGCUUUGCUAAUACCGCAUACGAUCUACGGAUGAAAGCAGGGGACCGCAAGGCCUUGCGCGAACGGAGCGGCCGAUGGCAGAUUAGGUAGUUGGUGGGAUAAAAGCUUACCAAGCCGACGAUCUGUAGCUGGUCUGAGAGGACGACCAGCCACACUGGGACUGAGACACGGCCCAGACUCCUACGGGAGGCAGCAGUGGGGAAUUUUGGACAAUGGGCGAAAGCCUGAUCCAGCCAUGCCGCGUGCAGGAUGAAGGCCUUCGGGUUGUAAACUGCUUUUGUACGGAACGAAAAGACUCUGGUUAAUACCUGGGGUCCAUGACGGUACCGUAAGAAUAAGCACCGGCUAACUACGUG
This 481-nucleotide ribosomal RNA is filed under the name uncultured bacterium. Its description in RNAcentral is "partial 16S ribosomal RNA". It matches the Rfam family "Bacterial small subunit ribosomal RNA", at positions 30 to 507 of the family's 1533-position model. The record is from RNAcentral.